RNAcentral lists this ribosomal RNA (301 nucleotides) under uncultured bacterium. RNAcentral's name for it is "partial 16S ribosomal RNA". It matches the Rfam family "Bacterial small subunit ribosomal RNA", at positions 509 to 807 of the family's 1533-position model. The record is from RNAcentral.
CAGUCGCCACGGUAAUACGGAGGGGGCUAGCGUUGUUCGGAAUUACUGGGCGUAAAGCGCACGUAGGCGGCUUUGUAAGUUAGAGGUGAAAGCCCGUGGCUCAACUCCGGAAUUGCCUUUAAGACUGCAUCGCUUGAAUCGCGGAGAGGUGAGUGGAAUUCCGAGUGUAGAGGUGAAAUUCGUAGAUAUUCGGAAGAACACCAGUGGCGAAGGCGGCUCACUGGACGCGUAUUGACGCUGAGGUGCGAAAGCGUGGGGAGCAAACAGGAUUAGAUACCCCCGUAGUCCCUGUCUCUUAUAC